UGGGGAAUAUUGGACAAUGGGGGCAACCCUGAUGCAGCGACGCCGCGUGGGUGAUGAAGGUUUUCGGAUCGUAAAGCCCUUUUCUGCAUGACGAGCACAGGACGGUAGUGCAGGAAUAAGUGUUGGCUAACUACGUGCCAGCAGCCGCGGUAAAACGUAGGACACAAGCGUUAUCCGGAAUUACUGGGCGUAAAGGGCGUGCAGGCGGUUGCGUAAGUUAGGCGUGAAAGACUUCGGCUAAACCGGGGGAGGUCGUCUGAUACUGCGCAACUAGAGUAUGGUAGAGGCGUGUAGAAUUCCGGGUGUAGUGGUGAAAUGCGUAGAGAUCCGGAGGAAUACCAGUGGCGAAGGCGGCACGCUGGGCCAUAACUGACGCUGAGGCGCGAAAGCCAGGGGAGCAAACGGGAUUAGAUACCCCUGUAGUCCCUGAGCGGGCUGGCAAGGCGCAU
RNAcentral lists this ribosomal RNA (449 nucleotides) under uncultured bacterium. RNAcentral describes it as "bacterial SSU rRNA". It matches the Rfam family "Bacterial small subunit ribosomal RNA", at positions 355 to 825 of the family's 1533-position model. The record is from RNAcentral.